AUUAUUUUGAACUGUAAAAUCCAAUGAGUUAUUUCAGCAGUGAUGAAAGAGUUAUUUUAAAUUAUCAAAUAUAUAAAGUUGUUUAUUCAGUCAAAUAUAGGUUUUAUCAGUGUGUAUGUAUUAGUAAAAGAGAGAGACGUAGGAUUUCAAAAUAAUCUAAAUAUGAAAUCAAAUAAUCAUGCUCAUAUUGAACCAAAAAGAUUAGAUUUGUGAUCGGAAGCGUACUUGAAUAUAUAAUGGAAGAAAUUUGCAUGUAGUUCAGUAGAUCUUCCAAAUCGAGAU
This 282-nucleotide long non-coding RNA is filed under the name Carica papaya (papaya). RNAcentral's name for it is "long non-coding RNA (CPAP_LNC004553)". The record is from RNAcentral. Lineage: Eukaryota; Viridiplantae; Streptophyta; Magnoliopsida; Brassicales; Caricaceae.